CCUACGGGUGGCAGCAGUGGGGAAUAUUGGGCAAUGGGCGCAAGCCUGACCCAGCAACGCCGCGUGAAGGAAGAAGGCUUUCGGGUUGUAAACUUCUUUUCUGAGGGACGAAGAAAGUGACGGUACCUCAGGAAUAAGCCACGGCUAACUACGUGCCAGCAGCCGCGGGAAUACGGAGGUGGCAAGCGUUAUCCGGAUUUAUUGGGUGUAAAGGGCGUGGAGGCGGGAACGCAAGUCAGAUGUGAAAACUCAGGGCUCAACCCUGAGCCUGCAUUUGCAACUGUUUUUCUUGCGUGCUGGGGAGGCAAUCGGAAUUCCGUUUGUAGCGGUGAACUGCGUAGAUAUCCGGCGGAACCCCAGUGGCGAAGGCGGCUUGCUGGACAGUACCUGACGCUGAGGCGCGAAAGCGUGGGGAGCAAACAGGAUUAGAUACCCGAGUAGUC
Molecule: ribosomal RNA, 443 nt
Filed under: uncultured bacterium
Lineage: Bacteria
Description: partial 16S ribosomal RNA
Rfam family: Bacterial small subunit ribosomal RNA
Source: RNAcentral